Molecule: long non-coding RNA, 1441 nt
Filed under: Helianthus annuus (common sunflower)
Lineage: Eukaryota; Viridiplantae; Streptophyta; Magnoliopsida; Asterales; Asteraceae
Description: hypothetical non coding rna
Source: RNAcentral
UUCAGCCUUCUUUCUAUCUUCUACACACACUCUCUCGAAAUAAUAUAGAUCCUUAUUGUUUUAUUAUUUACACUAUAAAUAAUAAGGCUCUGUCCUGUUUUAAGUGUUUUAACUCCCGAUCACCGCUACCCUUUCCUAUUGAUCUGAGCCUCAUAACAUAUGUCAGGGCUCUGCCCGACAAAGUUGUUGGGAUUCGAUCUCGGGACUUCGGGACAAGGUUGAAUUAGGAGUACUAUACUUACCACGAGUGCAUUAUAUAUUUAAUAGCUUAGGAAUUAUACCCAAAAUUUAUAUCAGGAGAUUUUCUAGCUGAACCCUAAAGUUACACAGUGGGUCCAUUUUCUUUUCUCACUGUUUUAUUCUCUUUUUGUGAUUUACCCAAAACUAUUAUUUAUUAUUCUAUUUUGUAAACAACUCUCACCAAAACUACUAUUUAUUAUUUUAUUUACCCAAUAGGAAACCCAAAUUGAGACACCCAAGUAAUUCUGCACAACUCCUAAAAUUUUCAUAACAAUCAGAAUCAGGAUCAGGACCCCUAAAACUCAGGGGGGGUAUUCCCUACUCGACGAUUAUCCACAUAUCUUGCUGUCAAAUUCGAAAAUAUCAAUUCCGUCAACUCAGCAAGCCUACUAGGACACGAACCUACCCUACCCUAAAAUGUUACCCGUCGCGCCACGCGACAGGACCAGGUGUCCCUGUCGCGACACGCGAGGAAGUCGAAAUUUCAGUAUAAAUAGGGGGGUUGGCACUUGAAUUCUGGUGUUAGUUCGACAAGCAAAUUCCAAAUAGACACUGAGAUAUACGUAAAUCACUACAAAACACACGCUAGCUCGAAUUCUGCUACGAUACAGGGUAUUAACUUGAUCGCUGCUACGAUUUAAUGUCCGAUCGAUUGGAACUAUCCAAUGGAUGUUUAAGUGCUGCUCAAAUUGGGUUUAUACUUUGUCAUUCGUCGUGAUUCCAAACAGGAUGUUUGAGUGUCACCCGAAUUCGGGCUAUACUCUGUCAUUUGUUGUGAAUCCGCUGGAUAUUUAAGUAUCGCACUUUGUCAUUUGUUGUGAGGGUUUAAUCUCGUGAGCUUAUCGUAAAUGCUGUAUUAGUUAUUUACCUAGUUUCGUGUGCAUUAUAGCUUAAAUUAGGUUAUCAGACUUAUCAGUAGAAUAAACACUACCCCAUAUACUUACAAUCAAAGUAGAUGCUAAUUCCCAGAAGAGCUUGAAUCAGGAAACUUGUUAAGUCAAUACUGCAUGCUUAUAAUGUAAUUACAGUAGAUUGGAGUAAGAAUUGGAUCCGGCACUGAAGGACUUCAAGAAGUGGCUUAUUUUAUUAAUUAAAUCAAAUUAAGAAAUAUUGUUUUAUGUAAUUGGGUUUAUCCCUUAUUAAAGCUACCUUUGCAAAACAUGGAUUUAUUCCAUCUAUUUAAUAAAUAAAAUCCGGUGUU